Non-coding RNA from Lepisosteus oculatus (spotted gar), 2028 nucleotides. The record is from RefSeq and is a predicted model, not a curated record. Lineage: Eukaryota; Metazoa; Chordata; Actinopteri; Semionotiformes; Lepisosteidae.
AACUGACCCCACACACACCGUGUACAGUAUCUACAAACAGUAUCACUUCAUCUGUCGAUAAUUAUGCAGGCUUGUAGUGACAGAAAGGAUUGACGGUCACAUACUGGUAUGUUUAUUUCUCGGUCUGGUGGUGACAGUGGUAGAGGAUCACACUGAUGAUUGAACGGAUUAGUAAAUGCUUUUAUUUCAGUAAAUCAAGUUUAUGACAAAUUCCCAGCUUUCUGUCUUUCAGAGCUCUUCUUGUAGUAGAUUAGACUAAAAUGAAUACCUGUUGCUUUUAACCUCCCUUUUACAUCUGCUUAUAAGAUCAGGCACUGCUGCUGACUUUUCAAAGGCAUAUACUGUAAACAUAAAUCCGGCACAUAAAUGGAUCUCUUCACCUGAUAACAAAAAUGGCUUUGGAUAGAUUUGGUUGAAACAUAUACACGAGGCUGACCAAUACCAAAGCCUGAAAAUGUAAACUGUGUUAAUCUAAAUGUAAACUGUGGACAAGCAGUUGGAGAGAUUUCACAUUAAAAAAGUUGCAGAGAUGGGUGGCAUUGUGGUGCAAUGGACAGCAUUGCUGGGGUCUUGGGCUCAAUUCAAGGCCCGGGGUGCUGUCUGUGUGGAGUACGCAUUUUCUCACUGUGCUCCUGUGGGUUUCCUCUGGGUGCUCUGGUUUCUUCCCAAAGUCAGAAAACAAACUGGUAUGUAAUUAGCUUCUAGGAAAAUUGUUCCUAGAGUGUGUGUGUAUCUGUGUCUGUGCCUGUCUGCCCGGCAAUGGACUGGCCUCCUGUCCAGAGGGCAGACUGCCUUGCACUUGUUGCUUACAAGAUAGACUCAGACUCCCCCUUGACCCUGUCCUGGAUUAAGCAGUUAGAAAAUGGAUGAAUUAAAAGACUUGCCAUUUGUUCUCGUGACUCCUUUAAGCGCUAAAACAAGCUUCCUUCGGUACUGAACAUUUUUCGGACAUUUCUUUGGUUAGUGCAGCGUGCUUCACUGCUCAGCGAAGAUUCCCAUCUCCACAUUCAGCCUCUGAGCACUGCUCCAGUGAAGUUUCAGAUCAGCGAGUUCAAACCUAUUCCACUUUGGGAACGCUCACCGUGUUCUUCCACGUGGUUCUCAGCCAUUCUCCCUCUUUGCCCUCACUCAAGCUCUCUCUGUACUGAAGCAGCUGACACCUCUAUCUCUCGGGUCAUUUUGUAAAAGUCCAGCCAUUCUGUCUGUUUAUUGACCAGCAUCAGCAAAUAAUUGCUCCUGUUUCACGUCCAGGUUGGCGACCAAGCGGUUCUCUGUAGUCAUACAUAUUUUGCCACCCCUUCUUUAAAUCCUUUUCGCCUUCAUAAUUGUCAGCAUUCCUCGGGAGACUGGAGUAAAUCAGAACUUUGUGUCGUCAUUGUCUAAUUCUGCAUCCGGCUCACGGGGUUCCUUUAUUAGUUUCAGGGGCUCCUUCCUGUCAGUCUUGUUUUCAUGGGCAGGGUCCUGUUGUCAGGCAAGCAGCACCAAAUAAACGUUCAGUGUGUUUCGCCUGUACGUCGUAUGAAUUAGGAUUUGCCGAACAAUUGCACAGUACUGUAGCAUUCCUACUGAGUGGCUCUGAUGACCCCAUAGCAGAUGACUGUCUCAAACCAUCCGAUCUGAUUUAUCCUUAGUUACUUUCUUCAGUGAGCGGAUCUGGGGUUCACCCACAACGACAAGAAGAAGACCAGAUGGCCUGCUGCCGCAUGUGAUGUAUUGUCCUAAACGCCUGUCCUCAGCUGCCAUCAGUUCAGUAUCCUGGGGGAGCUGGAGUCUGUCUUGGCAAGCCACAGGGACAAGGCAGCAAACACCCUGAAUGGGACACCAGUCCAUCGCAGGGCAGACACAGUCACACUGAUACUCUCACACCAGGGCCAGUUCACCCAGAAGCCAACUAACCUCCACGUACUUCCUUUGAACUGAAAGGAAGAAACCAGAGCACUCGGAGGACACUCAAGAUGUCAUGGGCAGAGCCAGAGCAUACAACUGUAAUGGAAGCGUUCUUUCCGGACCAUAUGCUGACGACACAAU